RNAcentral lists this ribosomal RNA (462 nucleotides) under uncultured bacterium. RNAcentral describes it as "bacterial SSU rRNA". It matches the Rfam family "Bacterial small subunit ribosomal RNA", at positions 30 to 539 of the family's 1533-position model. The record is from RNAcentral.
CGAACGCUGGCGGCAGGCUUAACACAUGCAAGUCGAACGCAUCCUUCGGGGUGAGUGGCAGACGGGUGAGUAACGCGUGGGAACGUGCCCCUCAGUUCGGAAUAACCCAGGGAAACUUGGGCUAAUACCGGAUACGUGCGAGAGCAGAAAGAUUUAUCGCUGAAGGAUCGGCCCGCGUCUGAUUAGCUGGUUGGUGGGGUAAUGGCCCACCAAGGCGACGAUCAGUAGCUGGUCUGAGAGGAUGAUCAGCCACAUUGGGACUGAGACACGGCCCAAACUCCUACGGGAGGCAGCAGUGGGGAAUAUUGGACAAUGGGCGCAAGCCUGAUCCAGCCAUGCCGCGUGAGUGAUGAAGGCCUUAGGGUUGUAAAGCUCUUUCGUCCGGGACGAUAAUGACGGUACCGGAAGAAGAAGCCCCGGCUAACUUCGUGCCAGCAGCCGCGGUAAUCUGAUGGCGCGAGG